RNAcentral lists this ribosomal RNA (460 nucleotides) under uncultured bacterium. RNAcentral's name for it is "partial 16S ribosomal RNA". It matches the Rfam family "Bacterial small subunit ribosomal RNA", at positions 338 to 795 of the family's 1533-position model. The record is from RNAcentral.
CCUACGGGGGGCAGCAGUGAGGAAUAUUGGUCAAUGGACGAGAGUCUGAACCCGCCAAGUAGCGUGAAGGAUGACUGCCCUAUGGGUUGUAAACUUCUUUUAUAUGGGAAUAAAACGUUCCACGUGUGGGAUUUUGUAUGUACCAUAUGAAUAAGGAUCGGCUAACUCCGUGCCAGCAGCCGCGGUAAUACGGAGGAUCCGAGCGUUAUCCGGAUUUAUUGGGUUUAAAGGGAGCGUAGGUGGAUUGUUAAGUCAGUUGUGAAAGUGUGCGGCUCAACCGUAAAAUUGCAGUUGAAACUGGCAGUCUUGAGUACAGUAGAGGUGGGCGGAAUUCGUGGUGUAGCGGUGAAAUGCUUAGAUAUCACGAAGAACUCCGAUUGCGAAGGCAGUUCACUGGACUGCAACUGACACUGAGGCUCGAAAGUGUGGGUAUCAAACAGGAUUAGAUACCCCUGUAGUC